GGUGGUUCUCGGGUGACACACCCCAGAAUCCGGCUCCCUCCUCUCUGGUUCUGGGUGCAUCACCUGAAAAUCACA
Non-coding RNA from Myotis davidii, 75 nucleotides. Lineage: Eukaryota; Metazoa; Chordata; Mammalia; Chiroptera; Vespertilionidae. The record is from Rfam.